Molecule: ribosomal RNA, 810 nt
Filed under: uncultured bacterium
Lineage: Bacteria
Description: bacterial SSU rRNA
Rfam family: Bacterial small subunit ribosomal RNA
Source: RNAcentral
AGUUUGAUCCUGGCUCAGGAUGAACGCCUUUGGCGUGCCUAACACAUGCAAGUCGAACGGAUCCAUACUGAAACCUAGUGAUGUAUGGAUUAGUGGCGGACGGGUGAGUAACGCGUGGAUAACCUGCCGUAUACAGGGGGAUAACACUUAGAAAUAGGUGCUAAUACCGCAUAAGCGCACGGUUCCGCAUGGAACAGUGUGAAAAACUCCGGUGGUAUACGAUGGAUCCGCGUCUGGUUAGCCAGUUGGCGGGGUAACGGCCCACCAAAGCGACGAUCAGUAGCCGGCCUGAGAGGGUGAACGGCCACAUUGGGACUGAGACACGGCCCAAACUCCUACGGGAGGCAGCAGUGGGGAAUAUUGCACAAUGGGGGAAACCCUGAUGCAGCGACGCCGCGUGAGUGAAGAAGUAUUUCGGUACGUAAAACUCUAUCAGCAGGGACGAAAAAAAGUCCUUUGGACUUUGGACGGUACCUGACCAAGAAGCCCCGGCUAACUACGUGCCAGCAGCCGCGGUAAUACGUAGGGGGCAAGCGUUAUCCGGAUUUACUGGGUGUAAAGGGAGCGUAGACGGCAGCGCAAGUCUGGAGUGAAAUGCCGGGGCUCAACCCCGGAACUGCUUUGGAAACUGUGCAGCUCGAGUGCAGGAGAGGUAAGCGGAAUUCCUAGUGUAGCGGUGAAAUGCGUAGAUAUUAGGAGGAACACCAGUGGCGAAGGCGGCUUACUGGACUGUAACUGACGUUGAGGCUCGAAAGCGUGGGGAGCAAACAGGAUUAGAUACCCUGGUAGUCCACGCCGUAAACGAUGAUU